Long non-coding RNA from Anser cygnoides (Swan goose), 3984 nucleotides. NCBI's taxonomy places the organism in Eukaryota, Metazoa, Chordata, Aves, Anseriformes, Anatidae. The record is from Ensembl.
UUAGGGGGUCUCGGGGGGUUUAAGAAGCACCCUCAGCCAGUUGGAGGGGUCCCUGGGGUAGUAGGGAGGGGCGCAGAAAAUUUUAAGGGGUUUCUGGGGCAGUUUAGGGGAUCCUAGGGGGAGUUGAGAAGGUCCGAGGAGUUUAAGGAGCUCCGCUGGGCAGUUGGGGGGCUCCCCGGGACAGUUUAGGGGGUCCAAGGGGCAGUUUAGGGGUCCCCGGGGCAGUUGAAAGGGGUCCUGGGGACAGUUGAGAGGGUCUGGGGGGGUUUAAGGAGCACCCUGGGCUUCUUGGGGGGUCCUCGGGGCAGCUGGGGGGUCCCUGGAGCAGUUAACAGGGUCUGGGGGAUUUAAGGAGCACCGUGGGGCAGUUGGGGGGGGUUCUGGUGGCAGCUGGGGGGGUCCCAGGGGCAGUUGAGUAGGUCCGGGGUGUUUAAGGAGCACCCUGGAGCAAAUGGGGGGGUCCCUGGCGUAGUUGGGGAGGAUUGUGGGGAGUUUAGGGGGUCCCUGGGGUAGUUGAGAAGGGUUGUGGGGCAGUUUAGGGGGUCCCCAGAGCAGGAUAGGGGUCUCAGGAUCAGUUCGGGGAGCCCAGGGGCAAUUCGGAGGACCUUGGGGCAGCUGGGAGGGGGGCAUGGGGCAGGUUAGAGGCCCUGAGGGCCAGUUGAGGGCCCUUUGGGGCAGUUUGGGGGUUCCUGGGGCAGGAUACAGAGUUGGGGGGGGGCAAUUUGAAGGGGCAGAUAAAAAACAAGGGGGCAGUAGGAGGAUGAAGGAUGAAGUCGGGGGGGGGUCCUUUGGCCCCAGGGGGACAGCGGUGACGGAGGGGUGCUCGAGAGGGAAAGCUGGGGCUGACGGGGGGCAGCUUGGGGGGCAUGUAGGGGCCGGGGGGGCAGUUGUUUCCAUGGGGCAGUUGUUGCUGCCCCUCAGGCGAUGCAGCGAAGGCGCCACGGAGGCCUCUGCACCACGGGGGGCACAGUGCAGGGGCCGGAGCUGAGGCACCCCAUCGCCAGCGACUCGGAGGACGACGAGACGUGGCGGUGCCCGACCACUGGCAACACCGCCUCACCCCAAGUUGUGCCAGAGAGCGACCCGGAGGAGCCAGAUGUGUGCCCAGACAUUCGCGUGCUCCGAAAGCGCCGUCCCACCCCAGCCCUGGGCCUCCGCACAGAUUUGGCCCAAUCCCACCUGGAUCCGGACGUCGGGGGACCCAAAAAGCGCCGUUUGUGUCCCAAAACUACCCCAGCUCCAGAUGUGGGGAACAAAACGGCAAUUUCAGACAUUCGGCCCCAAAAUCACUCCCCAAACCCAAAAGGGCAGGUGGAUCCAGAUGUGAAGCACCUGGGAGGCAGCACAGUGGCUCUUGGCAUUGAAAGCGAUACAGAUGACGAGAUGCACCCAAAAUCUGCUCUUUUUCACCCUAACCGUCACCAGGCCGCCCUGGAGGCAAGUGGUGACCCAAAUGUGGAGAAACGAGGCCCAAAUCCAGGUGCUGAAGGUGCCCAAAAUGGGCGUUGGAUGCUCGCGGUGGACAGCGACACGGACGUGGAGGAGGCUGACGUUCUUCCGUCUGUUGGAUGCCCAAAAAUGCGUCGAAAGGCCCAAAGGGUGCCAAAAGCCCCAGGUGUGGAGAUGAAGCCCCCAAAUCCAGAUGCUGGCAGUUCGAAAAAUGGAUUCCAGACGCUCGUGGUGGAUAGUGACACGGAUGUGGAGAUGGAGAGCUCAAAUUCAGCUGUGGAGGAUCCCCAACGUGGACAUCAGGCAUUCGGGGUGGACAGUGACACAGAUGUGGAGGAAGGUGGAGCAAAUCCAGCUGUUGGGCUGGCCAAAACCCCUCAAACGACCGAAAACACCCCGAACUCUUCAAACAUAAAGAUGAAGAGCCCACAUUCAGCUGUUAAAGGCCCCCAUGAGGAACAUCCACCGCUCACAGUAGACAGCGAUACUGAUGUGGAAGAGGACAGAGCAAAUCCAGAUGUUGUGUGCCUCCCAACCCCUCAAACGGCCCAAAACGCACCAAAACCCCCAAAUAUUGAGCUGGAGACUCCAAACCCAGAUGCUGACGGAUGCCAAAAGGAGAACUGGAUGCUUGUGGUAGACAGUGAUACGGACGUUGAAGACAACAUCCUUCCAGAUGUUGUCAGCCCAAAACCCCACGCAAUGACCCACAGAGACCCAGGUGUGGAGACCCGAGGUCAAGAUGCUGAGGGACCCAAAAUGAGAUGCCGGUCCCCACUGGUGGACAGCAAUACAGAUGUGGAUGAGGAGCCUUCGAGUGCAGAAGGCAGGGAUCCAAAACCGCAUCAAAUAACCCAAAAUGCACAGAGGAACCUGGAUGCAGAGAUGCGGACCCCGAGUCCACAUCCUAGAGAACCGCAAAGUGGGCACGAGAUGGUCAAAGUGGACAGCGAUACAGAUGUGGAUGAGGAGCCUUCGAGUGCAGAAGGCAGGGAUCCAAAACCACAUCAAAUAACCCAGAAUGCACAGAGGAACCUGGAUGCAGAGAUGCAGACCCUGAGUCCACGUCCUGGAGAACCGCAAAGUGGGCACGAGAUGGUCAAAGUGGACAGCGAUACAGAUGUGGAUGAGGACCCUUCCGAUCCAGAAGGUAGGGAUCCAAAACCACAUCAAAUAACCCAGAAUGCACAGAGAAACACGGAUGUGGAGAUGGAGACCCCAAGUCCACAUCCUGGAGAACUGCAAAGCGGACACGAGAUGGUCAAAGUGGACAGCGAUACAGAUGUGGAGGAGGAUGGGCUGAAUCCAGAUGUUGGGUGUCGAGAAACCCAUAGAAUGACCCCAAAAAUCCACAAUGACUCAGACGUAGCAAUAAAGACCCCAAAUCCUGAUCUUGAAGGUCCCCAAAACAGAGGCCAGAACCUGGAGGUGGACAGCGACACAGAUGUAGAGGGAGAAGACCUGAACCCAGAUGUUCCUGGCCUGAAAAACCACAAAACGCCCCAAAAUGCCCAGAAGGACCCAACUGUGGUGAUGGAAACCCCGAAUCCAGAUGUUGUCGGCCUCCACCGUGGCUCGAUGCCACCCGGCAGUGACAGCGACACGGAUGUGGAGGGCCUCGAGGACAUUGAAACUCCAAAAACGCGUCGGACCACACGUGAGGUUACCGGGAUGGGUGCUAAGAAUGCCGCUGCUCCAGAUGUUGAUCCUCGGUGGCACGCCUGGACCAAGGGGGGGCUAAAUGUGAAGGGGACAGCCCCAAAUCCAGAUGUUGGUCAGCACGUGGACCUAAACGUGGACAGUGAUACCAGGGUCGAGGACAAUGGUGUGGUGCCAGAUGUUGGGGCUGUACAAGGGGGGCAGGGGACACCUGGUGAUCCAGAUGUGGCGAUGGCACCCUUAGAUCCAGAUGUUUCCCCUCCUGUGACCCCCCAGAGUGGCAGCGACACCGACGUGGAGGAGGUGGCCCCCACUCCCUACGUUCGGAGCCUCCGGAGCAAAACCCGACCCCGAAAUCCAGAUGUUGUGGACACCGCAAUGGGCAGCGAUACCAAUGUGGGGCUGACGGACCCCAAAUGCCAGAAACCAGUCCAAAACAGGCAGGGUUUGCCCCCCAAAUCAUGCAGUGACGGAGGUGUGGAAGGAGAGGUGCCAAAACGGCAUGAUUUAGCCCCAAAUACAGACGCGGAGGACCCGAAUCCAGAUGACAAGGUGCAACAACACAACCCCCAGACCUCAGUGAUGGGCAGCGAUACAGAUGUGGCGCCAGCUGGUCUGGCCCCCAAAUCUCCAAUUACGGCCCCAAAUUUGAGCCUCGGUGGUGAUGCUGCUUGGGGAUCCAGGAGUGCUCAGGCCACCCCUCAUGGGGACACAGAUGCGGAGGUGGCAGAAAGUGAAACUGAGGGUGAGUGGGGUGGCCUUUGUCACCUCUGUCCCUUCCUUGAUCACCUUGGUUCCUUGGCCACCUGGGUUCCUUCCUUGGUUCUUUUGGUCCCCUUGUCCCCUUCCUUGGCCACCUGGGUCCCUUCCUUGGCC